This 253-nucleotide ribosomal RNA is filed under the name uncultured bacterium. Its description in RNAcentral is "partial 16S ribosomal RNA". It matches the Rfam family "Bacterial small subunit ribosomal RNA", at positions 524 to 776 of the family's 1533-position model. The record is from RNAcentral.
UACGUAGGGUGCGAGCGUUAAUCGGAAUUACUGGGCGUAAAGCGCACGUAGUCGGCUUUGCAAGUCGGGUGUGAAAUCCCCGGGCUCAACCUGGGAACUGCAUCCGAGACUGCAUUGCUAGAGUAUGGGAGAGGGAAGCGGAAUUUCUGGUGUAGCAGUGAAAUGCGUAGAUAUCAGAAGGAACAUCAGUGGCGAAGGCGGCUUCCUGGACCAAUACUGACGAUCAGGUGCGAAAGCGUGGGGAGCAGACAGG